Molecule: ribosomal RNA, 253 nt
Filed under: uncultured bacterium
Lineage: Bacteria
Description: partial 16S ribosomal RNA
Rfam family: Bacterial small subunit ribosomal RNA
Source: RNAcentral
UACGGGGGGGGCAAGCGUUGUUCGGAAUUACUGGGCGUAAAGGGCUCGUAGGCGGCCAACUAAGUCCGACGUGAAAUCCCAAAGCUUAACUUUGGAACUGCGUGUGAUACUGGAUGGCUUGGAUUUGGGAGAGGGAUGCGGAAUUCCAGGUGUAGCGGUGAAAUGCGUAGAUAUCAGGAGGAACACCGGUGGCGAAAGCGGCUUCCUGGCCCGACACUGACGCUCAUGUACGAAAGCGUGGGGAGCAAACAGG